CCUACGGGAGGCAGCAGUGAGGAAUAUUGGUCAAUGGGCGGGAGCCUGAACCAGCCAAGCCGCGUGAGGGAAGAAGGUACAGCGUAUCGUAAACCUCUUUUGUCAGGGAACAAAGGCGGGGACUAGUCCCCGGAUGAGGGUACCUGAAGAAAAAGCAUCGGCUAACUCCGUGCCAGCAGCCGCGGUAAUACGGAGGAUGCGAGCGUUAUCCGGAUUUAUUGGGUUUAAAGGGUGCGUAGGUGGGCUGUUAAGUCAGCGGGAAAAGGUCGGGGCUCAACCCCGGCACUGCCUUUGAGACUGGCGGGCUGGAGUUGGAGAGAGGUACGCGGAAUGCGGGGUGUAGCGGUGAAAUGCUUAGAUAUCGCGCAGAACCCCGAUUGCGAAGGCAGCGUAC
This 394-nucleotide ribosomal RNA is filed under the name uncultured bacterium. RNAcentral's name for it is "partial 16S ribosomal RNA". It matches the Rfam family "Bacterial small subunit ribosomal RNA", at positions 338 to 729 of the family's 1533-position model. The record is from RNAcentral.